Molecule: non-coding RNA, 277 nt
Filed under: bovine gut metagenome
Source: RNAcentral
AUUUUGUACCAAUCCUUUGCCGAAAGUCCGUUCGCCGAUUAGCACCGCUCUGUCAAAAUCUUGCAGUGAGCCGGAGACAAUUUCAGAGGCAGAAGCACUAUUUCUAUUUACCAAAACAACUAUUGGGAUUUGGUUGUCCAAGGCGGUUUUGGAAGUGGCAAAAGUUUGUGUUUGUUUUGGAUUUUUGCCUUUGGUGGUUACAAUUAUGUUGCCUUUGUCAAUAAACAAAUUGACAAUGUCAAUAGCUUCGUUGAGCAAACCGCCACCGUUGUCUCUU